Molecule: long non-coding RNA, 2829 nt
Organism: Culex pipiens pallens (northern house mosquito)
Lineage: Eukaryota; Metazoa; Arthropoda; Insecta; Diptera; Culicidae
Exons: 3
Source: RefSeq, a predicted model, not a curated record
AUUACCAUGGCACUUUGAAAAGUUGAACUCCAUGCACACACUCUCACUUUUAAUUUCUUGAUUGUGUUUCAUAUAUGUUUAUAGGACCUAUUCAAAAAAAAUACUCUUGUUAUGAAUUUAAAAUGAUAUUCUCAUGUCACUGAAAACUAGAUUACUAUUUUCAAAACAAACAAUGAGCCAUGGGUUACCUAUGUACAUAGGACAAUUUGAAAAAGUUAGCGAGAAAUCCUGUACCACCAAUAUGUUUUCCUUUUCUACCUUGUUUGUGAGGUAGGUAAUUUUGAGCAACUUUUGUUCUUAGACUCCUGCUGUUUCAUUCUUUUGUACUCUUAUUUUUUUGUAUUUUUAUUUGCUUUUGCCUUGUUGAAUCUUUGUUCUUUUUGCUUGAACUUCCAAUCAUUAAAUAAGCGUUUAGAGAUUGUCUGGAAUAUAUCAGAAAUUACCCUCCCUAUCGAGAAAUUAAAAAGAGAGAUGUGAGCCGGUAACAUGGAAGUUAAACUUUCGCAACUGUCAUGGUAAACUUUACAGAAGCUUGACAGAAAGUUUAACUCCAUGUUGCACUUUUGAUUUCCCGAUAUAUAUAUUAAAAAAAGAGUUAUCUGUGUAAAAUAAAAAAAAAUGUUUAUGAAGGUCUCAUUUGAAAGUCUGAGAACUUAUUUUUCCUUUUGUGUUUAAGAAAUUUCGCAUGCCGCAUGCCAACUUAGUAGGUUUACUGGUCGGUCGUUUUAGAAGACACCCGAUUUCGUUGGCUGAUUACUCAUAUUGAGAACUGUCAAAUUUUUUACAGGGAAAUUCACUCGGAUAGUGUUAGCGCAGCUGAACACUCCAAAAAUUCACCACAAAAAUGAGUUAUAAUAAUUAAAAUUUCGUGACCGUGCAUAACUUCAACUCAACCAAAUUAAGUUAAGCAUGUAUAUUGUACAGUUUGUUUUGGUUUGGUUCCUGCAAAGUUUCACCAGUUUUUUCGUCUGCUGCGAUCGCGUAAAUUUUUUUUGUGUUGCGCCGAUUUUGCAACUGUAAUACUUUGAUUGUCCUGGUUCCCGUAAUACCCAAUCGAGUAUGUACUACAACAUCCUGCCGGUGCUGUUCUACUACGGAAUGGCCAACAGCGAUCAGGAAUACGAGAUGCGCUUCCGGGCGGAGAUUGUGGUGCUGCCGAAGAACGGUCACUUUGCUCUGUCGGCCGCGACCGGAGUGCUUGCCGGCGAUCACGACUGUCCCAUUUCCUGACUACUUGGUUGCAUAUUCCGGGUCAGGUCACGGAGGAGCAGACGAAGUUAGGUCUGGAGAACUGGUUCGAUGAGUACAACGCUCGCGAGCUCCGUCAGAUUUGGGAAGCUAAAACGGCCACGUACAACCAGCUGCGAACGAUGAGCAGCAAGCUGGACGACAUGCAGAACUUGCUGAACAAAAUGCGCGAUGGAAUGAACCAGGUGAAGCAGGGCGUGGCGAGCGUUAAGCAGAGGAUGCAACAGUCGCAAUCGCAAGCCAAUGUGCAAUGCCAGAACUGACGGCCUUCCUGAUGACGAUCGUGAUGCACCUGCUGGUAAUAGUCGCGUACAACAUGUAUAGCCGAUUGCUGAGCCGCACAGGCAAAAAGUUCUACUAGAGACUAUACUUUCCGGCCAGCUGUCUGUACGCGCCAAGGUUGAUUGCGUCCAGUGCUUUGCGAAGCGGUAUACAAUUGUAGUCGUGAGGAGGCAGCCGGCGCGGGACAAGAAGUACUCAAUAUCAAGCCGACGAAUCAGAAACUGAAGUAAGAAACGUUCCAUUGUAAGGACCUUCGACGCGACCGAAAUUGCUGAGAUUUGCAUCUCGAAGUCUUCCACCUCGGCAGCAGCUGUAAUCGGUGUUUGGUUCACUCUAUCGGCUCAGGAAUCCCAAAACUCCAGCUGAAUUAAGCAACAAGCACCCUCUGGCCAACGAAGAGGAUUUGCCCUAGUUGGUGAUUGGUUUCGAACCGUGCAACUAUCAUUAGCCGCCGAGCUGCUUUCCGGUACAACCCGUGACUUUUUCAGCACAACACGAGCGGCAAGCGAAAUCGUAGAACUGAUGGUGGCACUUUUGUUUACUUUGGUUUAUUUUUCAGAUUCGCAGAGACCGUUCACGGACGUGGGAUGUCUGGAACAUCGUUCAAGCGCCACAAACUGUUAUUCAUCGUGGAAAAGCGUUCAACGGCGACGGCACGGAUCGACACAUUGCGACGACAAGUUGUGCUUCAGACGCCAUAGAAAAGUUCACAAACAUCGUUUCUGACCAUUCUUACUAUGGUCAGUUGAUGACCAUUCAAUAUAAAUUGUAAGUAAAAGAAUUUUUUUCUUAACAAACUUUACUUUACUGUGAAUUAUUUAACAAAAAGCCUUUAAUUUAAAUACGCUCAUAUUCAAGGUGUAAGUUGGAGUGGGUAAAAAUACGUUUUAUCAUUUUUUCAAACCUCGUUGGAUUUAGAUUUUGAUAAAUUUUUCGAAAGCUUUGAUUUGUAUUGUUUUCUGCACUUUGAAUUGCACGCUUUUGUUUUGUGUUGAGCGUGAAUCAAAUCAAUAUAAAACCGUAAGCAUGUGUUUCAAAAUGUUCGUGCCAAAACAAAUCGCAAUGCUUUUGAAAAUUACAUCAGAUUCUAGAUUCAACGGGGUAAAAAAAUUUACAGCUUUCUUAAAUUUACGUAGAUUUCAUCGGAAAUUUACAUGUUUUGAAGUCUCUUUUGCUUCGGGUCAUUUACGUUGGAUGACAUGUAAAUUUAAAAUGAAACUCAUUUAAAUUAGCAUCAUUAAUGACGUGCACUUUUGGUACAUCAUAAAUGAUGUAAAUUUACCGGAUUAUUUUUUUCUG